GACGAACGCUGGCGGCGUGCCUAAUACAUGCAAGUAGAACGCUGAAGAGAGGAGCUUGCUCUUCUUGGAUGAGUUGCGAACGGGUGAGUAACGCGUAGGUAACCUGCCUUGUAGCGGGGGAUAACUAUUGGAAACGAUAGCUAAUACCGCAUAACAAUGGAUGACACAUGUCAUUUAUUUGAAAGGGGCAAUUGCUCCACUACAAGAUGGACCUGCGUUGUAUUAGCUAGUAGGUGAGGUAACGGCUCACCUAGGCGACGAUACAUAGCCGACCUGAGAGGGUGAUCGGCCACACUGGGACUGAGACACGGCCCAGACUCCUACGGGAGGCAGCAGUAGGGAAUCUUCGGCAAUGGGGGCAACCCUGACCGAGCAACGCCGCGUGAGUGAAGAAGGUUUUCGGAUCGUAAAGCUCUGUUGUAAGUCAAGAACGAGUGUGAGAGUGGAAAAUUCACACUGUGACGGUAGCUUACCAGAAAGGGACGGCUAACUACGUGCCAGCAGCCGCGGUAAUACGUAGGUCCCGAGCGUUGUCCGGAUUUAUUGGGCGUAAAGCGAGCGCAGGCGGUUUGAUAAGUCUGAAGUUAAAGGCUGUGGCUCAACUAUAGUUCGCUUUGGAAACUGUCAAACUUGAGUGCAGAAGGGGAGAGUGGAAUUCCAUGUGUAGCGGUGAAAUGCGUAGAUAUAUGGAGGAACACCGGUGGCGAAAGCGGCUCUCUGGUCUGUAACUGACGCUGAGGCUCGAAAGCGUGGGGAGCGAACAGGAUUAGAUACCCUGGUAGUCCACGCCGUAAACGAUGAGUGCUAGGUGUUGGAUCCUUUCCGGGAUUCAGUGCCGCAGCUAACGCAUUAAGCACUCCGCCUGGGGAGUACGACCGCAAGGUUGAAACUCAAAGGAAUUGACGGGGGCCCGCACAAGCGGUGGAGCAUGUGGUUUAAUUCGAAGCAACGCGGAGAACCUUACCAGGUCUUGACAUCCCGAUGCUAUUUCUAGAGAUAGAAAGUUACUUCGGUACAUCGGUGACAGGUGGUGCAUGGUUGUCGUCAGCUCGUGUCGUGAGAUGUUGGGUUAAGUCCCGCAACGAGCGCAACCCCUAUUGUUAGUUGCCAUCAUUCAGUUGGGCACUCUAGCGAGACUGCCGGUAAUAAACCGGAGGAAGGUGGGGAUGACGUCAAAUCAUCAUGCCCCUUAUGACCUGGGCUACACACGUGCUACAAUGGUUGGUACAACGAGUUGCGAGUCGGUGACGGCAAGCUAAUCUCUUAAAGCCAAUCUCAGUUCGGAUUGUAGGCUGCAACUCGCCUACAUGAAGUCGGAAUCGCUAGUAAUCGCGGAUCAGCACGCCGCGGUGAAUACGUUCCCGGGCCU
RNAcentral lists this ribosomal RNA (1369 nucleotides) under uncultured bacterium. RNAcentral describes it as "bacterial SSU rRNA". It matches the Rfam family "Bacterial small subunit ribosomal RNA", at positions 28 to 1381 of the family's 1533-position model. The record is from RNAcentral.